This 160-nucleotide ribosomal RNA is filed under the name Neofusicoccum vitifusiforme. RNAcentral's name for it is "5.8S ribosomal RNA". It matches the Rfam family "5.8S ribosomal RNA". Rfam says of the family: 5.8S ribosomal RNA (5.8S rRNA) is a component of the large subunit of the eukaryotic ribosome. RNAcentral also lists the same sequence under 2 other names. The record is from RNAcentral. Lineage: Eukaryota; Fungi; Ascomycota; Dothideomycetes; Botryosphaeriales; Botryosphaeriaceae.
AAAACUUUCAACAACGGAUCUCUUGGUUCUGGCAUCGAUGAAGAACGCAGCGAAAUGCGAUAAGUAAUGUGAAUUGCAGAAUUCAGUGAAUCAUCGAAUCUUUGAACGCACAUUGCGCCCCUUGGUAUUCCGAGGGGCAUGCCUGUUCGAGCGUCAUUUC